This 490-nucleotide ribosomal RNA is filed under the name uncultured bacterium. Its description in RNAcentral is "partial 16S ribosomal RNA". It matches the Rfam family "Bacterial small subunit ribosomal RNA", at positions 30 to 507 of the family's 1533-position model. The record is from RNAcentral.
AUUGAACGCUGGCGGCAGGCCUAACACAUGCAAGUCGAAUGGUAACAGGAAACAGCUUGCUGUUUCGCUGACGAGUGGCGGACGGGUGAGUAAUGUCUGGGAAUCUGCCUGAUGGAGGGGGAUAACUACUGGAAACGGUAGCUAAUACCGCAUAACGUCGCAAGACCAAAGAGGGGGACCUUCGGGCCUCUUGCCAUCAGAUGUGCCCAGAUGGGAUUAGCUAGUAGGUGGGGUAACGGCUCACCUAGGCGACGAUCCCUAGCUGGUCUGAGAGGAUGACCAGCCACACUGGAACUGAGACACGGUCCAGACUCCUACGGGAGGCAGCAGUGGGGAAUAUUGCACAAAGGGCGCAAGCCUGAUGCAGCCAUGCCGCGUGUAUGAAGAAGGCCUUCGGGUUGUAAAGUACUUUCAGCGGGGAGGAAGGGAGUAAAGUUAAUACCUUUGCCCAUUGACGUUACCCGCAGAAGAAGCACCGGCUAACUCCGUG